RNAcentral lists this ribosomal RNA (98 nucleotides) under Crocodylus porosus (Australian saltwater crocodile). The record is from RNAcentral. Lineage: Eukaryota; Metazoa; Chordata; Crocodylia; Crocodylidae.
GCCUGCUGGACUGAAUGUACCCAAUCUGAUCUGAUUGUGGAAACUAAGCCGGCGUGGGCUGGUACUUGCCUGGAGACCACUUGAGAAUCUGGAGGGCU